Molecule: non-coding RNA, 46 nt
Filed under: Schistosoma curassoni
Lineage: Eukaryota; Metazoa; Platyhelminthes; Trematoda; Strigeidida; Schistosomatidae
Source: RNAcentral
CCACUGCUGAGGAGUCUCAUGAUAGAGCGAAACGGCCGUCCAGUAC